UGCUUCUCACAAAUUCAAAAUGUUAAGCAAUAAAGAGCAUGACUUUCAUCAUGUUCUACCAUCAUUCUCAAAAUAGUUUUCUAAAAUUCUACCAUAUAGCUUAAUGUUUUCAGCCACUGCUGCUUUUUUUUUUUUUCUGAAAGGGAAGAUGAUUUACUGUGUUUUGUGAAAUUAACACUUCUUUAAUCUGGGACUUCUGUGGUGAGGCAAUUAGUCUUCCUUUGUUUUAGACAUUUUAUCCAGGUCUGUGUGAGGUUAACAUGGUGACAUUUUUUUUUUGGUGUUCAGUCUCUCUCCAUAUAAAUCCAUAUUAAUGGGAUAAUCCCUUCCUCCUGGAAGGAAAUCUCAAACAUCAUCAAUUGUGUAGCACUGACAACAGUUGUGUGUAAGGCAUUGUGCUGUUAGAAAACAUGGAAGUUUUGCAAAAACACGUUUAAUUACAAUUUCACAAAAAGCACAAGUUGCAACAGGAAAAAAAUCUCACUGGCCAUGAGGAAAAAAAUCUUCAGUGUUAGAACAGCUAGUCAGCUACUAGAACAAUUUCCAGAGGGAGGUUUUUGGGUCUGUUAGCCUUCCAGAUUUUCAGAACUUGACUGAAUGGGGCCCAGAGCAAGGUGAUCUAUCUUUGAAGUUAGCUCUGUUUUGAGUAAAAGUUAUGAUUAUGUGACAGCUAGAAGUACUUUGCCACCUAAUUUUUCUGUAUUUCUCCCUGCAUUGCAAUUAAAUUAAUAGUUGAGCUGAUUUCAGUGCAAUUUUUAUGAGGAUGAUAUUCCAUAUAUUGGGUACAUGGAUGGAAUGUCUUGGUCUUAUCAUGCUUUUCAUCUAUACAAUGUAACUUGGUGGGUUAUCUCAGCUUUGUGUGAUGACGGCACCUUCCAAAAAAAGCAGGUAAUUUUAAAAGUUCAGGUCUUGUUCAAAAUGUUGUGGGGUGUUUUUCUAAUGAAGGUAUAAACUUCUAUACUUUAAGAUGAUUGCAGGGAGCAGGUAUCUGACAUGUGAAACACUGACCUCAAAACCAACUUUGCCAGACAUGGAGAACAACAUGGAAGCAUCUGUAAAGAAAGGUUGUGCCAGAAGAAGACAGAAAGAAGAAGGUUAUUCGAAGUUAAAGAGAGCCAAAAGAAGUAAAACUUCUACUUAAGGAGUUCUGGAGUAUUGAAAGAAAACACUACAUCUGGGUUCCCAAGAGGGCAGUAACAUACUUCAGAAUCUCUGAACUUUGUGUAUUUUGCUGUUUGCCAUUGGUAGCAGUUUCUGGAUGAAAAUUUGAGGGUUAAAUACAGUCAGAUGAAUCCAUGUAUCAUCAACUUCUUCAGACAGUUCAG
This 1325-nucleotide long non-coding RNA is filed under the name Cyanistes caeruleus (blue tit). RNAcentral's name for it is "lncRNA (ENSCCEG00000012773.1)". The record is from RNAcentral. Lineage: Eukaryota; Metazoa; Chordata; Aves; Passeriformes; Paridae.